This 212-nucleotide long non-coding RNA is filed under the name Lynx pardinus (Iberian lynx). The record is from RNAcentral. Lineage: Eukaryota; Metazoa; Chordata; Mammalia; Carnivora; Felidae.
CCUGGUUGCAGUAGCCAAAUUCACUGUCUUACCCUGAAAUGAACUUGAUAGCAUGGCCAUUGAAAGCAAUACCAGCCCCAGCAUGGAAGGUGGAAGAAUGGGUGUCACUGUUAAAGUUGCAGGAGACAAACUGGUCCUCAGCAUAGCCCAGGAUGUCCUUGAGGGGAUCCUCUGAUGCCUACUUCCCCACCUUCUUGAUGUCAUAGUAUUUG